UAACCUUGUCCGCAGUGUUCUUUUCAGUUUAAUCUCUGAAAGAGUUCUAUGGAACUCAAUCGUGAUUAUUCCAAUUUUUUCCUUCGGGAGUGUAUCCUCUGUGCUUGCACAUGAUCACACCCACCGUGUCCCUGGUAUUACACUGCCUCCAGGUGAUGCGAAUGGUUA
RNAcentral lists this small nuclear RNA (168 nucleotides) under Pseudomassariella vexata. Its description in RNAcentral is "U2 spliceosomal RNA". It matches the Rfam family "U2 spliceosomal RNA". From Rfam's summary of the family: U2 is a small nuclear RNA (snRNA) component of the spliceosome (involved in pre-mRNA splicing). Complementary binding between U2 snRNA (in an area lying towards the 5' end but 3' to hairpin I) and the branchpoint sequence (BPS) of the intron results the bulging out of an unpaired adenosine, on the BPS, which initiates a nucleophilic attack at the intronic 5' splice site, thus starting the first of two transesterification reactions that mediate splicing. The record is from Rfam by way of RNAcentral. Lineage: Eukaryota; Fungi; Ascomycota; Sordariomycetes; Amphisphaeriales; Pseudomassariaceae.